RNAcentral lists this ribosomal RNA (479 nucleotides) under uncultured bacterium. RNAcentral describes it as "bacterial SSU rRNA". It matches the Rfam family "Bacterial small subunit ribosomal RNA", at positions 28 to 521 of the family's 1533-position model. The record is from RNAcentral.
GACGAACGCUGGCGGCGCGCCUAACACAUGCAAGUCGAACGGAGCUUAGAGAGCUUGCUUUUUAAGCUUAGUGGCGAACGGGUGAGUAACGCGUGAGUAACCUGCCCUAGAGUGGGGGACAACAGUUGGAAACGACUGCUAAUACCGCAUAAGCCCACGGUACCGCAUGGUACUGAGGGAAAAGGAUUUAUUCGCUUUAGGAUGGACUCGCGUCCAAUUAGCUAGUUGGUGAGGUAACGGCCCACCAAGGCGACGAUUGGUAGCCGGACUGAGAGGUUGAACGGCCACAUUGGGACUGAGACACGGCCCAGACUCCUACGGGAGGCAGCAGUGGGGGAUAUUGCACAAUGGGGGAAACCCUGAUGCAGCGACGCCGCGUGGAGGAAGAAGGUUUCGGAUUGUAAACUCCUGUCGUUAGGGACGAUAAUGACGGUACCUGUUUAGAAAGCCACGGCUAACUACGUGCCAGCAGCCGCGGU